AGUUUAUAACAUUUAUAUAUUUUCUUGUUAACUAACUGUUCAAUAAAUGUUUUUAGAGUUUAUCAUAAAAAUAGUUUAAUGAGUGUUUUUUUUUAUUUCUUGCAUGCUAACUUUUUGAUACAUCUGUUCGAUUUGCAUUUUUUAUCAUUUAUUAUUGCAUGUAGUUUUUCGAUUAUAUUGCUUUGUCUUCCUAUUAUUUUCAAUUUUGAAAUAUUGGAGUCUUAUAUUAUAGUCCAGUAUUUAAUAUUUUUUCUCAUUCUAUUAUUGUUUGAAUUUGUGUGAUUGCUGCCAGUAUGCUGGUUGGCUAAAUCAGUCAGAAAUUCGAAACUCUGGUUUCUUACUCGAUUAUCUUCAUUUUAUUAUAAAUUUGUCUCCCUAACAAUAUCCAACUUUUGUUUUUGCUUCCUUCCAUUUUGACGACUGGGACCAGUCGAUGAGAUAAAUCAAGCCGAGCAUCAGGGAUGUGUAGUUUUUUACUCCGCCGCACUGUAUUGUGCAUCAAACCAUGACUUUUCUAUACAGUAUAAUUGAUCACAGUUUUGUUAAAUUUGCACAAGUUAUAGUUUAAGAAGGACAUGCAUCAGUACAACUUGAGAGUAUUUCGAUUGCUCUAAAUGGGAAGUAAUUUCACCUGGUAUAAAGCACAUUUUCUUGCUAAUAAAACACAUUAAUAAAAAAUAUAUACAAUGAAAUUGUAUAUAACAUAUUUAAGCUCUAAAGAAAGGAAUGUUUUGAAUACGCAUAAUAUUGUUUUUAUACAGAAAAUAAGAAAGUAUACGAGCACUCUUAACUGUUCAACAUGAUUCAAAACAAUUAUAUACAUAUGUAGUAUGUAUAUAUAUCAUUAUAAAUUGUAAAAAUCUUAAGUGCUCCUCAAAUCAAAUAACAAAAUCAAAUGUUAUCAAAUAAAAUAUUUUAUAAAAUUCUGUAAUUCUUGACUGUUAUAUGUAAACACCAGCCAAAUAGAACUUUGAGUAUAUUUACUAUCUUCCCAUUAUUCAAGUCUUGUGAAAGAGGUAUUUUUCUAUGUGUGAUAUUGAAAGAGCUUGUUUAACUGACUAAAAUACUGACUUGAUAUUGAUGUUAUUGCUUUAAAAAAUAAAAUAAAAUAAGUUGAGAAAAAAAAAAAAAAAAAAAAAAAAUAUUUUUUAAAAAUGAUUUAAAUAUAAAUUUUUUAUAUUUUUUUUAAAAA
RNAcentral lists this long non-coding RNA (1192 nucleotides) under Androctonus crassicauda. Lineage: Eukaryota; Metazoa; Arthropoda; Arachnida; Scorpiones; Buthidae. The record is from RNAcentral.